Lycium barbarum (goji berry) is the source of this 811-nucleotide long non-coding RNA. RefSeq lists it as uncharacterized. The transcript is spliced from 3 exons. The record is from RefSeq and is a predicted model, not a curated record. Lineage: Eukaryota; Viridiplantae; Streptophyta; Magnoliopsida; Solanales; Solanaceae.
AUUUGUGGGCAGCAACCAUUCUUAACUUUGAAAAAGAAUUCACCUGAAGGAUCCAAAUGAACACCAUUUCAUUUCACGUUGGGAUUCAAUUUGGAAGCAAAAAAAAAAAAAAAAAAAGGGUACAGCGACAUUUUUCUUUGAAGAUUCAUUAUGAAGAGCCAAACAAAAACAAGAAGAGCAAGAAAUCCAAAGGCCAUUCGGCCAUGCUCAAAAUUUUUUGCCCCUUUGAAAUCUUGUUCCCAAAAUUAUUUUCUUGUGGUAAUUCCACUAAUUCAAGGGUCCUUUACAACUUGGUGUAGUUAUUUUGGAAGAUAGGGAGCUUGUUUCUUCAAAUUAACAAGUGGGUUUAGUGAAGAAGCUUGGAAGAACAAAGGCAGAUUUUGGAGAAAACUGGGAUUGAGCUUGGAGAGGCGUAAGACGCGAAAAAGGUACAGACGCACAGUUUGGUGAUUCACCAGUUUAGGACACCCUCUUCUGCUGUUUGGAGUGCUCCUCUUAUUUCGGAGCCUACUUUUUGGUAUAUAUACUUGUUCGAUGCAUAUGUAUAUAUUGGUUCAGGGGUACGGCGGGGCCCUGUCCCGCCAUAUGUUUCUGUUGGUCUGUUUAGAGGUUUGUAGACGUAUUUGUGAGUGUGUGUGCCUACUUCUGUACAGAUGUGUUUGUAUGACCCUGUUCAUUAUGGCAGCCUUGUCGGUGUGCACUUUGUAUAUGUUUUGGGCCGUUGCGCCAUCUGUUAGCCUUGUCGGCUUUUGAUACUUUUGAUAGCCUUGUCGGUUUUUGAUACUUUUGAUAGCCUUGUCGGCUUUUGAUA